GGAGAGGGGAGAGGAGGGAUGGAGAGGAGAGGAGGGAUGGAGAGGAGGGAUGAAGAGGAGGGAUGGAGAGGAGGGAUGGAAGCAGGGGAAGUGUUUGAGAUGUUCUAGAAGUGAAAGACAUUUUGGAAUCUUUCUGUCCCUUGUCUCUUCCUCUCCUCCCCUUCCUCUCCUCUCAUCCACCACUGACGCUUGCUGCCUGUCGCUCCCUCUCCUCCCUCUUCCUCUCUUCUCCUCCCCCUUCCUCUCCUCUCCUCCUCCGCUGACGCUUGCAGCCUCUCUCUUCGUCUCCUUCCUCUCCUCUCCUCCCCCUUCCUCUCCUCUCAUCCACCACUGACACUUGCUGCCUGUCGCUCCCUCUCCUCCCUCUUCCUCUCUUCUCCUCCCCCUUCCUCUCCUCUCCUCCUCUGCUGACGCUUGUAGCCUCUCUCUCCUCCCCCUUCCUCUCCUCUCCUCCCCCCCUUCCUCUCCUCUCCUCCCCCUUCCUGUCCUCUCCUCCCCCUUCCUCUCCUCUCCUCCCCCUUCCUCUCCUUCACCGCUGACUCUUGCUGCCUGUCCAUCUUGGUUUAAUGUACCCCCUCAAUGUGUAUAUUCACCAUGAUUGUUAAAAUAAACAUUCCAACACUUCUAAUAAAUAAAAAAUAAGGAGAAAUGUACCUUUUUUAUUUUUUAUUUUUUUUGUGAUAAUUGAUAGUCAGGUUGGGAGGGGGUACAACUCUUUUGGUAGUGAGGGUGAAUUUAAAAGUUUUUCAAAAUGUUCUGUGUUGAAUGCUCUGUGUUUUAUGUACGGUUCACAGAACCAUUGGGUACUAUAGGGGAGAAGACCACUUUUUUAAAGUUCCAGGGUUCUUUGAGACCCGAAAAGUUGUCUUUAUAAUAUCCCAAUUUACAUAUAUUUAUGUACAUCGGGGCAUAAAAUAAUAGUUUGGUUUCAUCUGUGUGUGUCCAAUGAUCUUAGUAGUAAUCUGGUCUAUAUCUGGUCUGGGAAACAGCCCAGUAUGUGUGUUGUCCUGAUGAGAAGACGUUUUUAAAGUGCUUUUAAACGCUGAGUUUAAAGUUUUAAAUGAUUUUUUAAAAAGUGAUUCCACUUUUAUCACUCUGUUUUUAUUCACUUUGUAAAUAGUUUAUAGUGUCACCUUAUCUGUUCAAUCAAGGGUUCUCAAUCCUGGUCCCGGGGACCCGAAGGGGGACACAUUUUUACUUGUUCCUGAUUUUAAGAUUAUCAACUGAUAAUCGAGCUUGGAUGAUUUGAAUCAGGUGUGUAGUGCGAGAGCAAAAACAGAAAAUGUGUCCCCCUUUGGAUCCCCAGGACCAGGUUUGAGAACCACUGUAUUCGCUAGCUAGGUGACUCUACUAUGUUCUUGAACACGGCCAGAGAAUUCUACUGUAGAACACUAGAAGUUCUAGAACAUGGCCAGAGAAUUCUACUGUAGAACACUAGAAGUUCUAGAACAUGGCCAGAGAAUUCUACUGUAGAACACUAGAAGUUCUAGAACAUGACCAGAGAAUUCUACUGUAGAACACUAGCAGUUCUAGAACAUGACCAGAGAAUUCUACUGUAGAACACUAGAAGUUCUAGAACAUGACCAGAGAAUUCUACUGUAGAACACUAGAAGUUCUUGAACACGGCCAGAGAAUUCUACUGUAGAACACUAGAAGUUCUAGAACAUGACCAGUGGUUCUAUGUAAAACAUGCUGAAGAGUUCCAUUGACUUUGUGUCCAUGUAUCAGAUAAGAUCUAAAUGAAACAUAAAGACCGAGCCAGAAGGUUGCUCUUGGCUCACUAUAACACUGUUAGCCAAUUUCCUACCCGGGAGACUCAGCCUGGGGGCUUAUUCAGUUUAGCCUAGAGGGCAGCUUCACAUUUCUCUCCACACACUGUAGACCGUGUGGCAACUCUUCUCCCUUUCCUCCCCUCAGGCCUUCUUUAAGGCUGUCGACUGCCAUCCUGUCUUACAUACAUCCAUCCACCCUUCUCUCCCUCCAUCCCUCCACCCUUCUCUCCCUCCAUCCCUCCACCCUUCUCUCCCUCCAUCCCUCCACCCUUCUCUCCCUCCACCCUUCUCUCCCUUCUCUCCCUCCACCCUUCUCUCCCUUCAUCCCUCUACCCUUCUCUCCCUCCAUCCCUCCACCCUUCUCUCCCUCCAUCCUUCUCUCACUCCAUCCCUCCAUCCCUCCAUCCUUCUCUCCCUCCAUCCCUCCAUCCUUCUCUCCCUCCAUCCCUCCACCCUUCUCUCCCUCCAUCCUUCUCUCCCUUCACCCCUCCACCUUUCUCCCCUUUAAGAGUUUCUCUCUGAGCCCCAAGACACUUAAGAGAGAGUUAGAGAGGGAUACUGUAGGAUUCAUCCCAAAUGACACCCUUCUCCCUAUAUAGUGCACUACUUUUGACCAGGGUCCAUAUAGCCAUAGUCUAAAGUAGUGCACU
This is a long non-coding RNA of Oncorhynchus tshawytscha (Chinook salmon), 2422 nucleotides long. The record is from Ensembl. Lineage: Eukaryota; Metazoa; Chordata; Actinopteri; Salmoniformes; Salmonidae.